CUAAUGAGUCGCAGCAUCAGUGGAAUUUGUGUGUUAGCAAUCUCCUUCUGUGUUUUUUUGCUUUCCUUUAACCCUCGAAAUUCUAACCUUUCCUUUCAUUAUUUUUGGUUCUGGUUUUACAGGAGUGAAAUGUUUCAUACAACCACGAGCGAUCCAUGUCGUCCCUAAGUUAUACUGACAACAUAUGUCGAAGUUGGGUUCAUACUUGUUGACCAGUGCGAGUCCCAGCACGAUUCAGCCGACUCCGGCGACUGGAGAAACGAGUUAGUAACUCGAGGUACUCAAAUUCAACUAGUCAGAUGCCCUGUUUAAUAUACUAACAUUCCGAUCGGCUAUCCACGUGCAUUGGUCACAAUAAUUUCACCAAUUUACCCAAAUCCCGUUACUGGUAUUACAGAACUUCUCACUAAUUUUUGAACCAAAUCAAUUUUCACAAUCUACCGAAAAACCCGAAAGAAUUUACUCGAAAGCCAAGAACCCAUGUGCACUGUUCACAAUAAUUUCACCAUUUACCCAAAUCCCGUCACUGGAAGAGCAGCUUAUAUAUUUAUAAUUCUUGUCUACCUAUCAGAUUUGCCGCCAGCGAUGGUGGUGUUGGGAAGAGUGGUAUAGAAAGAAGGAAGAAGAUGAAUUGGUUUUCAUUUUAUUUUAAUUUCUUUUAGUUUUGGUUUGUAAUUAUUUAGCCCCUAUUUGUCGCCUAUUAUUUGGAAAAUUAACGCCUAUUAUUUGAAAAAUUAAAGAGUUUUGAAUAGUUAUUUUUUAGAGAAU
RNAcentral lists this long non-coding RNA (768 nucleotides) under Olea europaea subsp. europaea. The record is from RNAcentral. Lineage: Eukaryota; Viridiplantae; Streptophyta; Magnoliopsida; Lamiales; Oleaceae.